Molecule: small nuclear RNA, 107 nt
Organism: Dipodomys ordii (Ord's kangaroo rat)
Lineage: Eukaryota; Metazoa; Chordata; Mammalia; Rodentia; Heteromyidae
Source: Ensembl
GUGCUUACUUUGGCUGCACAUACACUAACAUUGGAACAAUACAGAGAAGUUUUGCAUGGCCCCUGUACAAAUAUGACAUGCAAACUCGUGAAGGGUUCCAUAAUUUU